Molecule: long non-coding RNA, 1496 nt
Filed under: Salvia miltiorrhiza (redroot sage)
Lineage: Eukaryota; Viridiplantae; Streptophyta; Magnoliopsida; Lamiales; Lamiaceae
Description: long non-coding RNA (SMIL_LNC001746)
Source: RNAcentral
AAGGUAUCUGCUUCAAAUGAGGCUGUUUCUAGAAGUGUGAAGUCGGUGUUCAAAGCUCGGGUGCAGCGGCUUAACUCUUUAGAGGUACUCCAUGAUUUGCUGAGUUUUGGUUAUUGAUAUGUUUUUCCAUGAAUUGAAGAUAUGAGUUCAUGUGUAAGAGGUGAAAUAUGUAUGACUCUUUUGUUCUGAAUUUUCAGUUUUGGGAUUUCCAAGCUCCAUUGAAGAAGUCAGUUGGGCCUCCGAGAAGAUCACCUCUAGAUGGUAAAUUUGAUUGUCAACUUCACCUUUUAUCUACCUUUAUUUUUCUUCUUCUUUUCCUUGAUAUGCAUCCAUUAGUGCACUAACCUUUUUGUUGUUGCUUGAUGGAAAUAAGUUCUGUAUGUGUGGUUCUUUACAAUUGUGCACGUAAUUACAAAAAGUUAUCCCAUAUAAUGAAGUAGAUUUGUUCAGUUAUAUGAGUGAAGUAGAAGUGCUGAAAUUCUUGGCAUUGGUGAUUAUUUGAAAGUUAUUUCUCUUUCUGCCUCUCUUUCUCUUUUUUUUUUUCGGCAGCUUCUUUUCAAUCUUCAAUGCUGCCAGAUUCGUGCUUCAAUGUCUGUAGCUUCUUUUCUACAAGCUUCUUGCUUCCAAUUUUACAUCUUUUCAUUUCUGCAUAAGGUUGCUUCCAUUUUUGCAUUUUUUGCUUUGUCUUUCUUCAUCUAUUCUUUAUGCUUUGCAUCCUUGACAGCUUCUUAAACCUCUUUUUUAUUUUUUUAUAUCUUUAGCUAUUAUUUUCUUCCUUUUUAUGUGUUUCUUUCUGUUUUACUAUAUCUUUAGUUAUAUAUAUAUAUAUAUAUAUAUAUAUAUAUAUAUAUAUAUGUGUGUGUGUGUGUGUGGCCCUUCAAAGCAAAAAACUAAGCAAAACGUUAUUAUAAUCUCAUACAGCAAAAGUAUCAUGUGCAGAGAAUUUGUGGGCUCAAGGUAAGAGCAUUUGUGGGGCUCAGAAUAUUACAGAAAACCUCCAAAAGUGAGAUUUGGGCUCCAAAUUGUCGAACCAAAACUUGAAUACAAAAUUUAGAGUUCUAUUUAAAUGUAGUUCAGGCCUCAGGCCUCACUUUAUUAUUUAAUGCAUGCUUUCUUAUUUAUUGUUUAUUGCUUUGUUGAAUCUGCAAUGCUUUAGUUUUCAUAUAUAUUUUUGUUAGUUCUUUCUUUCUCCUUGACUAUUUUAAUUUGAUUUGUUGAACCUAUAACUAUUACAUAUAUAGUGUUUAGAAAGUUCAUGUUUAUGAGGUUGCUGUCUGUUGUUUGUCUUGAUCAAUUUGACACCGAUUUUACUCAUUAAAUUCUUCAAUUUUCUCUGCUUCAUUUUUAUUUUGAUUUGCUCUAUGAUUCAGGGCUCGGUAACGGGAGGUCCUUCAGCCGGCUGUUAACGAUGGUGGGGAGGGCUGACCUGUAGUGGCGGUUGUAGCAUUAUCGUGUUCCAGCAGGAUCGCGGAUGGCAAAAGGUACAAGUCUUGAAG